CUCGAGAUCCGUAUCGCUGACCGAUGGCCCUGGCGAUUCGUGUAAGCGAAACGGGAAGUAUCGCCGGAGAUUUUAACCGGGGGUAACCCGUCCGUUUCACGAGUCUUGACGGCAUUAUCUAACCACACAAUGCCUCGCAUUUCCUGAGGUUUAAACCAAAUCUUGAUAUAGUUCUUCCUCUUUUCCCACAGCUUUGCCGAGGCAGCGAUGCCAAAAACUAUGUCGUGAAUCUCCGUCGGCUGAUGGGUUUCUUGACUGCCUCUCAGGUGAAUGUUUGAAGCCGUUUGAUUUUGAAUCAAGGGCUGAGAAUGAUUAGAGAUUGAGA
This 325-nucleotide unclassified non-coding RNA is filed under the name Hevea brasiliensis (rubber tree). Lineage: Eukaryota; Viridiplantae; Streptophyta; Magnoliopsida; Malpighiales; Euphorbiaceae. The record is from RNAcentral.